RNAcentral lists this unclassified non-coding RNA (339 nucleotides) under fungal sp. RNAcentral's name for it is "partial internal transcribed spacer region". The stretch from base 1 to 46 matches the Rfam family "Eukaryotic small subunit ribosomal RNA", at positions 1786 to 1831 of the family's 1831-position model. Lineage: Eukaryota; Fungi. The record is from RNAcentral.
AAGUCGUAACAAGGUUUCCGUAGGUGAACCUGCGGAAGGAUCAUUAACACGUAUCCAACGUUAAACAACCCUGUGAACCUUCAGACAGUUCUUCUAGCCCACGCGAACAGCAAUCCCGGUAAAUCAAGUGGCGGAAAGUUUUUUUGAUUCGGGACCUCUAUCCGAGUGGUAUCAAGUUAGAAUCCGAACUUGAGCAGUGGCAUGGUUUCCCUACGCAGUGCAGAAGGAUCCACUGAGCAGGGCUUUACGCCCCUUCGUUCACACCUUGCCUAUUUAAGCCCCGCGGAAACGCCUGGGCUAAAAACCGAACAACUGUUAACAAUGGAUAUCUUGGUUCUC